This is a long non-coding RNA of Oncorhynchus keta (chum salmon), 439 nucleotides long. RefSeq lists it as uncharacterized. The record is from RefSeq and is a predicted model, not a curated record. The transcript is spliced from 3 exons. Lineage: Eukaryota; Metazoa; Chordata; Actinopteri; Salmoniformes; Salmonidae.
UACAGCUUCUCUGUCUGUCUGUCUGUCUUCAUAGGUACAGCUUCUCUGUCUGUCUGUCUGUCUGUCUUCAUAGGUACAGCUUCUCUGUCUGUCUUCAUAGGUACAGCUUCUGUCUGUCUGUCUUCAUAGGUACAGCUUCUGUCUGUCUGUCUUCAUAGGUACAGCUUCUCUGUCUGUCUGUCUUCAUUAGUACAGCUUCUCUGUCUGUCUGUCUUCAUUAGGUACAGCUUCUCUGUCUGACUGUCUUCAUUAGGUACAGCUUCUCUGUCUGACUGUCUUCAUUAGGUACAGCUUCUCUGUCUGACUGUCUUCAUUAGGUACAGCUUCUCUGUCUGACUGUCUUCAUAGGUACAGCUUCUCUGUCUGACUGUCUUCAUAGGUACAGCUUCUCUGUCUGUCUGUCUUCAUAGGUACAGCUUCUCUGUCUGUCUGUCUUCAU